AUCAUUAUUGUAGGUUGUUGGCUUGGUUAGUUGUCCUCAAUCUUGUUCGAGUAAAAUCAGGAAAACAGAACAGUGUAGGUUACAAGAAAUCAAACUGUGUCAAAGACUUUCAAUGAAAAACAAGUGCACAUCAUCGUAAGAAGCGAUGGGCUCCUUUUGAAAGCAACAGAUGAGGUAAACUCAUCAAAAUGUAUCGAGCACAAGGUUGAAAGAAAAAAUACAUUGAAGCAAAAGAACCAGUAAAGCAAAGCAAACGUCUACUCUAGAAUGUGAACUUCAGUCGCCAUUUUGACCAUAUCAACGACUCAUUAUUGAUGAUAAUCACUAAGUUCUUUCAAAACGAAGAAACAAGCAAACACGUUAAUUAUGAAGAGUCGCGAAGACAAAAUAGAAUAAAUAAUUGAAAAAUGGUUGAUAUCAUCGUCAUAUCAAUGGUUGAGAACGGUAGCAGCUUUCCAAAAUGAAAUGGCAGAUCUUUCUGGGGUUUAUUCAGAUGUCAUUAUUUAGAGAUGUUUGGUACCCCUGGCUAUAUUAUUAACCGUCGUUACGUGGAGUGGCAUUGCCAUGCUGCAUAAGAAUUUAUCUACGUCAUAUUUUCCUUAGAUUGUUUUGUUCACAAGACCUAUUUGAGAUUUGAUGAUGAAUAAUUGCAUUUGUGCAUCAUUGAUGCGGGUGGAAGAAGUGACAACUGAAAAACAAGCAAUUUAACUGGUGUUAAAAGAUCUCUAGCAUUUUGUAUGAACGUGUGUUAAUCCCCAUACAUAUUCAUGCAAGGGUUAGUAUCUGAUCCUGCUCAAUAGUCUAUUCCAUUAGCUACGUACGUCGAAGUUGCGCGGAACAACAAACAUAGAAACAACUAUUUACUGAUGUUUUAUCAUACGAUUUUUAGUUAAUGGGAAUAACUCAAACCACUUUAUUGUGGUAGGCUUAUUUCUUUAAAUGAUGAAUAUGAUAGAACGGCAAGUAAUAUCAGUUGUGUGAGAAGCAUAAAGAAAAUAAUGGACAGCGAUUUAUUGAGUUCGAUAGAUCAGUUGAAGAAGAAACGUUUGUUGGGAAAUAGAGGACUGAACACUUGUAUUCAUUUUGAUUAUCUACCUUCAUCACCAUUGACAGUUCUUGGUCUGCGUGUUUGAAGCCUAAUUUAAUAUAAGAUCACAUGCAACUGUUACGAUUGUUUCGUCGCCAGUGCUGUUGAAACAAAUAUAUGCAACUGUCGUUGUAUUUAAUGUGCAAGAAGUGAAAAAGUAGAGUAACCUGUGAUGAAUACAAGAAGGCAUAAAAUCUUUCCGCCUAUUCACAAUAUUUCAGAAAUUAGAAAAAUUAGGAAGCUGGAGAAAAACUAAGAAGAAUGCAAAAGGGAAAUUAGGAAUAUUUCAAAACGUAUCUUGGUCGUGCAGAACUUCCCGCUCGCUGGCUGGCAGGGAAGGUAGGAUUCGAAGUUAGAUGCACCUGUUAUAUAUUUUCCCUUUGUAUGGUUUUGACAAAGCGGGUCAAUUUAUUCUUUCGCCAUUUGUUUUUAUCGUCGUGUAUUUAGUAUUGUUGUAAAUACACAACAAAGAUUGCCGAAGGUAGCGAGAAUUAACUUUGCCGUUUUUCCGGUUUAUGGGUGAUUGUUCGUAGCUAAUUAGCUAUAAUUGUUAUAACAUGGUUUGACCAUUUUCUGAUUUGAAAUUUCGAUGAAGUCGCGGCAAAUAAUUCCAAGCUAGACUUUAAGAAACAAAAGUUUGUUUUUUGUGUGCAAUAUUUAUGCAUGCUUAUUAAAUUAAAAAUCACUCCAACAACGGUUGGUGAUCGGCUCUUUUUUGAGUUUCAAUCAAAAGUUCAUCGUCAGAAUCGUUAAGGGAAAAGACCGAAAUCGAAUUUGAUAAAAAAGAAACGUUUAUAACCGUAGAGCUCUAACGUUGGUGAUUCAUUUUCACGAUCCAAGCUGUACAUUUAAAUAAUAAAAGCAAAGCUUGCGGACCAACUGAAAGUGCUGAAGUGAUAAGACUAUUUUAAUAUGUCUGUCUUCUUAUAAACUGCUUAUCUGUCAAAUAUGACGAUGUGCGCUCCGAUUAGUGAAACUCGUUCCUCAACACUUUAAUUUGAGUUUUUGUUUCUUUAUCUUCCUGUGUAUUGGUAAAUGUUGGUAUUUUUCUUAGAAUUGCAAUUAAUAUUUCAAACUUUAUUUUUGAAUCGUAUACAAAGAAAUCCAGCUUCUAGAGCUAAAACUUGUCUCUUACAUCAACAGUUAUCAAUUGUUUUUGAUUAGACAUAUUAGAAAACCGUGACUCGUCAUUAGCCAUAAAACACUUUUGUCGUUUUUCCCGUCAUAUUUUAGCGUAACCUGGAGCGAAGUGGGACACUUUUUCAUUCAUUACAAUGUAGCUGCACAAUAUUGACCAAAUUUGUCCAAAACAAUCCUUGUCAUCUAAUAAUUAUUUGGUAGUAAUUUUAAAAACAGACUCCAUCUUAAGGUCAUGCUAUGAUCAUUCAGGUGUGUGAUCGUUAGGUGUCUCACUUUGUUACCAAUUGGAAAUUAUACGAGACUUACCUUAA
Long non-coding RNA from Xenia sp. Carnegie-2017, 2538 nucleotides. RefSeq lists it as uncharacterized. The record is from RefSeq and is a predicted model, not a curated record. The transcript is spliced from 6 exons. Lineage: Eukaryota; Metazoa; Cnidaria; Anthozoa; Malacalcyonacea; Xeniidae.